CACCUGAACUUUGUGUUUCCAAAUUCUUUUGGCCUAUGCCUAAGUUCCCUCCUUUUAAGGGAUUUGAUCAUCCUUUCCCUUUACCUCCACCUUUGGAGCUUCCACCGUUUCCUAAACCAUGCCCACCACCUCCGGUUCCGGUGUACGAGCCACCCCCAAAGGUGGAACUUCCACCACCUGUCCCGGUUCACGAGCCACCCCCAAAGGUAGAGGUUCCACCACCCGUCCCGGUUCACGACCCACCGCCAAAGGUGGAGCACCCACCUCCGGUUCCGGUUUACAAGCCACCUCCAAAGGUAGAGCACCCACCUCCAGUUCCGGUUUACAAGCCGCCUCCAAAGGUAGAGCACCCACCUCCGGUUCCGGUUUACAAGCCACCUCCAAAGGUAGAGCACCCACCUCCGGUUCCAGUACACAAGCCACCAACAAUCCCUAAGAAGCCAUGCCCGCCUAAGUCGCCGAAGAUUGAGCUUCCACCGCCAGUGCCAGUUCACAAACCACCGACUAAGAAGCCUUGUCCGC
RNAcentral lists this long non-coding RNA (522 nucleotides) under Brassica rapa (field mustard). RNAcentral's name for it is "long non-coding RNA (BRAP_LNC006073)". The record is from RNAcentral. Lineage: Eukaryota; Viridiplantae; Streptophyta; Magnoliopsida; Brassicales; Brassicaceae.